Molecule: ribosomal RNA, 448 nt
Filed under: Strongylocoris leucocephalus
Lineage: Eukaryota; Metazoa; Arthropoda; Insecta; Hemiptera; Miridae
Description: partial large subunit ribosomal RNA
Rfam family: Bacterial large subunit ribosomal RNA (bases 321-448)
Source: RNAcentral
GACUGUACAAAGGUAGCAUAAUCAUUUGUCUUUUAAUUGAGGUCUGGAAUGAAUGGUUGGAUGAGAUAUAUACUUUCUUUAUUUUAAAUUUAAAAAUUUAAUUUUUUAGUUAAAAAGCUAAAAUUUUUUUAUAGGACGAGAAGACCCUAUAGAACUUUAUUUUGAUUUUUAUUAUUUUUUUGUUGAUAAUAUAUAGAGAAUUAUAUUUAUUAAAAUUGUGUUGGGGUGACAGAAAAAAUAUAAUAACUUUUUCUAUUUUUUUCAUUUAUUUAUGAUUUUUUGAUCCUUUAUUAUGGAUAAUAAGAUUAAGUUACCUUAGGGAUAACAGCGUUAUUAUUUUGGAGAGUUCAUAUUGAUAAAAUAGUUUGCGACCUCGAUGUUGGAUUAAAAUUAGAUGUGGGAGUAGAAAAUCAUAUAUCUAGGUCUGUUCGACCUUUAAAUUUUUACA